GCCUUGGCUGGCAUCAUGGAGUUUGGGGUCUGGGGGGCUCAGUGACAGCCUUUCCUCUCCCAAGGUUCGCUCUGCAAUUUGCUGUGUAAGUGGGAAUGGGGAUCCCAGCACCCGUUGCCUCCCAAGGCUGCGUUUUUUUUGGGGGGGUGUCAACUACCUGCAUGGGAACAAGCGAUGCCAGGACACAGCCUCGGUGCCCACGGGGUUUUCCUGCCCCAGGGUCUGUAUCUGACCUGGCUUCUCUCCAUCGGGAUUGCUGGCUGCAAGGCGGCCUCCCGGGGGUUAACGGCUGUGAGUGGAGAUGCCGGUUGGGUUGGUUGGAUUUCUUUCCCUUUAUUAUUAUUACUACUUUUUAAUCUCAUGCUGCUCUGAACACCUGGUUUCUGCCUGAUGCUGAGAGCUGCCAAAAUUCCCUUUUAGGCAAAAACACGUUCGUGUUUGUGGGAGCAGGGUCGCAGCUGGCUCCCCCCUCCCAGCCGUGCUCUUUCCCUCAGCUGAGCGGUGCUCUUGGGGCCCCUGGGUGCAGCACCGCCAAACCUGAGCCCAGGGGAGCAGUACGAGCUGGGUGAGGUGAUGCCAUUUCUUUAAUGAUAAGCAGCUGCCUAAUUAAAAAAAAUAAAUAAAAAUGCCAGUUGCAAGUCGUUUCUGUGGGACAUGCCACUUGCUGGUGCCUCUGGGGAGCUGAAGCUCGGCUCUGGCAGGGCUGGAUCACUCUGCCUGGUGGCACCGGCCCCACCAGGGGCUUGGACCACCUCAGAUGGGACUUCCCAGAUGUGGCUCGUGUCCCACAGCUCUUGGCCACCUGGGGACUUUGGCUGCUGGAGCUGAAGUUUAACCUGAAUCUUCCCUGCUCCAGGAGCAGCAGCCCAGGAUUUGAGGCUCUGCGGGGAGGACAGCAGCUGGGUGCCUGAGGAAACGAAAGCGAGAUGCAAAUUGUGGGAGGUGAAAGAGGCAAAACAUGCCUGAGGCCUUCCUCUUACAGCGGCUUUACCUCUUCUUAUCCCCCCCAGGAGGACGCUGGAGCUGGUGGGUAGGGGCAGCUCUGGGUCACGGGAGCACGUUCUGCUGGUGGAAGGAGGCUGCCUUGCAAUUUGGCUUUUGAGGGGUUCCUUCGUGCUGGGGACAGAUUCGUGUUUAAAUCAGGAGGGGGCUUUAACCAAAGGUGUCGGGGUCUCCAGCUCCACUCCCGAUCACUGGCACUGGUUGGUUUCUCUAGCUGUGAACUGCAGAGCUGAAGACCCCUGGGAGCAGUUGAAUUUGUGAACAGAAACUGAGGCCAAGGAGCAGCUCUGCCCCCGGCUUGCUCCUGCUGUACCUGGAGCCUAAGGACCAGCCACCCUGACCCGACUGUGGGGUCUCUCUGUUCUUCUGAAUGGGGUGCGGGGGUAACUUGGUCCGGAGAAGACCUCAGAGGCUCAGGUCCCUGCUGCCCCAAGCAGACAGGGUUGCUCAGGGCUUUCUCCAGCUGGAUCCUGAGAACUUCCAAGGAUGCAGACUGCUCAGCCCCUCUGUGCUGGGCUGUACCCAGUGUUCCUCCUUUUUAAAAUUUAUUUUUAUUUUUAGCCCAGUUGCUCUGCCCCUUGUGUCUCAGUUGCUGUGUUCCCCCUUCAUGUUUCUUUGCACACUUGGCGAGCACGAAGACCACUUUCUCCCAGCCUGGAAGAACCUCAUGGCACAAACCCCUGGCACCCACGGCCAAGUUGUUGGGACACAAAAAAUCAGGAGGGGCCCUGGGUAGGUCCUGGGUAGGAGAGUCCCUGGUGGGAGAACAGGGGCUUGGUGCCUCCUCCCAGGGUUGGAUGGGUGCUAGGGGCAGGGGACACGGACAGGCGGGGACACAGACAGGCACACAGCUCGCUCCUUCGGUAUCUUUUAUUAAUGUAUAGAAAAUGCAUUAAAAAAAGGAACUAUA
This is a non-coding RNA of Anas platyrhynchos (mallard), 1912 nucleotides long. The record is from RefSeq and is a predicted model, not a curated record. Lineage: Eukaryota; Metazoa; Chordata; Aves; Anseriformes; Anatidae.